Molecule: long non-coding RNA, 636 nt
Organism: Cuculus canorus (common cuckoo)
Lineage: Eukaryota; Metazoa; Chordata; Aves; Cuculiformes; Cuculidae
Exons: 4
Source: RefSeq, a predicted model, not a curated record
AGUUCACUGAAUAAAGCGUACCCAGCAGAUAUCACCCAUCAAAGUUUAGCAAGCAAAUAGAGCUGUGUCUGAAUCCCUCACUGGACUGCUGCUAUUUCCAUAGCGCAGGGAAACAGAUGUUUCCUGCAUCCCAAUGGAUCGCCGUGCCGCUCUGCGGGACUGUCACAGAGGUGACAAUAUUGUUGGCCUGGGGAGCCUCAGGCACACCCGAAGGGGAAGAGAAGUGCCUUUAAGAUUUCAUAGAGCCUUGCCUGUCCUCCAUCCCAAAACACCAGUCCCAGUACAAGAACACCCAGGAGAUCCUGAGGCCAUGAGCAGGCUUAGUAUUAAACUCCUUUGCUUUCUAGCCAGGACAUUCCAGCACCUCCAGAAAUCACCAGGAGCUGCAGAGCACAAAAAGGAAGAGCUAUUGCCGUCUUGCAGCUGGGGAACCAAGUAACGGUGAAGGGAUAGGCAGGAAGUGCACUGCAGUUUGCUCCAUGCCUGCCACUGCUGGUGACUGAGGGUUUCAAAUGACAAAGAUACAAACUGCCUAAUGCCAAGAAAACCUGCCAGCUGCAUGUGUGAAAGAGAAUAAAGAACCAUCUGCCAUGCAUCUCUGCCCCCCUUGGUGUGUGCUCUCCACGCCCAGCUAAA